CGGCGUGCCUAACACAUGCAAGUCGAACGAAGCCUUUACACUGAUUUCCUUCGGGGAUGAAGGGUUUAUGACUGAGUGGCGGACGGGUGAGUAACGCGUGGGCAACCUGCCCCGUACCGGGGGACAACGGCCGGAAACGGCUGCUAAUACCGUAUACGUUUUAAGGACCGCAUGGUCCGUAAGACGAAACUCCGGUGGUACGGGAUGGGCCCGCGUCUGAUUAGCUCGUUGGCGGGGUAACGGCCCACCAAGGCGACGAUCAAUAGCCGGCCUGAGAGGGCGGCCGGCCACAUUGGGACUGAUACACUGCCCAAACUCCUGCGGGAGGCUACUGUGGGGAAUAUUGCACUCUGGGGGAAACCCUGAUGCAGCGACGCCGCGUGACGCGAGGAAUUACCUCUGUAUGUAAACCUCUGUCAGCUGGGAAGAAAAUGACAGUACCUGACCAAGAAGCCACGGCUAAUUACUUGCCAGCAGCCGCGGUAAUACGUAGGGGGCAAGCGUUAUCCUGAUUCAUUGGGGGUAAAGGGAGCGCAGGCGGCACGGCAAGUCUGAUGUGAAAACCUGGGGCUCAUCCCCUGCACUGCAUUGUAAACUACCGGCCUGGAGUGUCGGAGGGGUAGGCGGAAUUCUUGGUGUAGCGGUGAAAUGAUUAGUUAUCAGGAGGAACACCAGUGGCGAAGGCGGCUUCCUGGCCGACAACUAACGUUGAGGCUGCAAGGCGUGGG
This 728-nucleotide ribosomal RNA is filed under the name uncultured bacterium. Its description in RNAcentral is "bacterial SSU rRNA". It matches the Rfam family "Bacterial small subunit ribosomal RNA", at positions 40 to 765 of the family's 1533-position model. The record is from RNAcentral.